GACGAACGCUGGCGGCGUGCCUAAUACAUGCAAGUCGAGCGGACGAAUCGAAAGCUUGCUUUUGAUUCGUUAGCGGCGGACGGGUGAGUAACACGUGGGCAACCUGCCCUGUAGACGGGGAUAACACCGAGAAAUCGGUGCUAAUACCGGAUAAUACGAAAUGUCGCAUGACGUUUCGUUGAAAGACGGCGCAAGCUGUCGCUACAGGAUGGGCCCGCGCCGCUUUAGCUAGUUGGUGAGGUAACGGCUCACCAAGGCGACGAUGCGUAGCCGACCUGAGAGGGUGAUCGGCCACACUGGGACUGAGACACGGCCCAGACUCCUACGGGAGGCAGCAGUAAGGAAUCUUCCGCAAUGGACGAAAGUCUGACGGAGCAACGCCGCGUGAGCGAAGAAGGCCUUCGGGUCGUAAAGCUCUGUUGUUAGGGAAGAACAAGUAACGCAGUAACUGGCGUUACCGUGACGGUACCUAACGAGAAAGCCACGGCUAACUACGUG
Molecule: ribosomal RNA, 498 nt
Filed under: uncultured bacterium
Lineage: Bacteria
Description: partial 16S ribosomal RNA
Rfam family: Bacterial small subunit ribosomal RNA
Source: RNAcentral